Molecule: long non-coding RNA, 357 nt
Filed under: Brassica napus (rape)
Lineage: Eukaryota; Viridiplantae; Streptophyta; Magnoliopsida; Brassicales; Brassicaceae
Description: long non-coding RNA (BNAP_LNC004549)
Source: RNAcentral
UAUGGUAUUUUUGGCAUCUUGUAUAUAUGUUUUCUAAUUGGUUUUCAAGUCUUUAUCGAAUCUUCCUAGUUCUUUUUGAGUCAUUACAGGUCUGGAGUUGCAUUGGAUCGGAGAUAGACCAACUGGAACAAAAAGGACGGAACACAAUGCAAUCUGGAGAUUUUCACGCGGAACAACCCGAGUGACUGUUCCCGAUAGCGGAGCAACCCGAGUGACUGUUCUGGAUAGAGCGGAGCAACCCGAGUGCCUGUUCCAGCGGCAAAGAUUUUUAAGGAAAUUACAAGUCAAUACGGGAUUGGCCCUAAUUAUCCCAUUUUUUUCUCCCAGCCGCCUGUGGCUUUGAUAUAUCAUAUUCUU